Non-coding RNA from Kogia breviceps (pygmy sperm whale), 1702 nucleotides. The record is from RefSeq and is a predicted model, not a curated record. NCBI's taxonomy places the organism in Eukaryota, Metazoa, Chordata, Mammalia, Artiodactyla, Physeteridae.
CCAGCAUCCUGCCCAGAAAAGACGCAAUUAGCCAAAAUGCUGUGUGGAGCCUUUUGUGAAGACCAACCUGCCACUCCAGAAAUCCAGCAGAUAGCUAACAAGGCAGAAGAAAGGAGUUUCUCCAUUCUGAAGAUAACAGAGCCUGGAAGGUAAUGGUGGUAUCAGGUACUAAAGGCUGUUAGUAGUAGUACUUGGGUCCAGAGUACACGUGGAAAAAAAACACCUCUUCCAAAGAUUCUCUAUGCCCCUCUUCUUUCCUCUUUCCUAUUUGGGGAGACAAGUUGUAUGAAGGAAAACAAGCCUGGUUUCUUCAUUCAGAAAACAUUGAUUUGGGAAUUCCCUGGAGGUCCAAUGGUUAGGACUCUGUGCUCUCACUGCUGAGGACCCAGGUUCAGUCCCUAGUCCGGGAACUACUAAGAUUCUACAAGUCUCGCAGUGUGGCCAAAAGAAAAAGAAAAAAGAAAAAAAAGAAAGAAAGAAAACACUGAUUAUGUACACAGUACUGUGUGAAUUGCUAUAGGGAGAGAAGGGACAUAAAAAAUGUCCCUACCCUCAGAGAAAUUUAUAAAAUAGAUUGGAGAAAAGGGAUACACACAAGGAAAUAAAGAGCCAAACAUGGCCCCAUCCAUAAAAAGCCAUAAUUAAGGAGCAAAUUAAUGGCCCACUGGCAAAAGCCUCUGGAUCAUUAUGGCUGAUCAAUUAUCUUAUGCCAUAUGUAAAAAACCAUUGGAUGAGAAUUCUGAGUAUGUUUAUGUUCAGGAAGGAAAUGUUAUUUCAAUAAUUAUUUUUAGAAAUAAGGCUAUUAUUACACAUGCACAGAUGCAUACACACAAAACAUACACACACACACACACACACACACACACACACACACACCGCUUAGUCAAACAUGACUGCUGGAUACCAUUCCUGGCAUACACACAGAUCAUGAUUUUUGUCUUCCAGGACACCACACAAACACCCUAUCGUCAUACCAUUAUGGACACAUCCAGGAGCUUAGCAUGUCAUGGAUCUUACCCACAAAUCUGUGUUCUCCUCUCUGACUACAGCCCCCUCAUCAGUCACCUCUUCCAUUGUCCCCACGUCCAGAGAACCUGGCAUUCAUCCACACCAGAAUCCUUCAGACACUCACCUCCCAUCUUCAUCAGAGCAUGCCUAGGCCCACUCUAUCACUCAUCCAGCUGGAUCCCAUGAUGUGUGGUUUCAUACUCUCCUCUACCCCUGAUUUCUGUGACUUCGUGAGCUCUGCAUUCCAGUCCUCAAUUAGAGGUCACUUCCCACUGCCACAACUUCUUCCUCAGCUUCUACUCCAGGUUCAGAGAACUUUGCUCAAGGAAGACGUAGAAACACAGAAAACUCACCCAUUACAAAUCUACAGAUUCAUGCCAGUGAACAACCAUAGCAGGACCCUAGGGCUGCCAGGACAUCCUUUCAGUCAUAUCCUGUUGAUCCUUUUCUAGAAACCCCACAGAGGUGGAUCUGGACCUUCUCUCUCCUCAGUUUCUCAAUCUGUCCCAUCCCCAUGGCCCAACCAGAUGGCGUGUCAGUUCUUUCUCUUAAAAGAUUGCAGCCAUCUUGUUCGAGAAUGCCCUGAAUUACUUAUGCCCUGCUGAUCUCAUUCCUCUCUCCAAUCUAAGACUCUGUCCUCCUUAAGCCAGAUGCCAUCAUUUCUUGUAUACUGGGUGCCUUGCCCCAUACUUCC